AUUCAAAACACACCCACCACCGUCAAAAAUUCUCUCUCGCUCUAGAUCCCUCUUCCCCGAGUGUUCACUUCCAUUCGAAUUACAGAAGAGAGAGGGAGAGACUAGAGAGAGAGAGAGAGAUGGCAGACGAAGAAGAAGCAGAGCUAAGCGAGACGCAGAAGAAGGAGAUUGCGAAAUGGUUGCUCCUCAACUCUCCUCAUGGCGAAAUCCAAUACGUUUCCAAAGGAUUGGAAUUGCACAAGACCAUCCUCGGAGAGGCCUGAAUAGCUGCUGGAAAUUUCUCUAAAAUCAUAUCUUGGCUAUGGAAAGAUAUCGCUUCAACGCGAUAUUUACUUACAGAAAAAGUUGGAAAAGGAGAGAAGGAAAUGAGAAGGUUUAGGCAAGAUUAGAAGUGAAGAAGGUUGUGGGAGGCAAAAAAAGAUAAGGAUUUCGAAGAACUUAUUUUGGAAAUUGUGAGGUACUCCAACUUCUUGAGAAGCUGUUUUUUUUAAUGAUCUUAUACUUUUUCUCCUCCUAUUAUCUGCUUUUCUUCAUUUUGAAUUUUCGCCCCUGGCCAAAAACAUUAUUUCCUGUUGUGGCAAUUUAACUAGAUCAGACUUCCCUUGGCA
Long non-coding RNA from Morus notabilis, 608 nucleotides. RefSeq lists it as uncharacterized. NCBI's taxonomy places the organism in Eukaryota, Viridiplantae, Streptophyta, Magnoliopsida, Rosales, Moraceae. The transcript has 3 exons. The record is from RefSeq and is a predicted model, not a curated record.